RNAcentral lists this ribosomal RNA (2868 nucleotides) under Triticum aestivum (bread wheat). RNAcentral describes it as "partial small subunit ribosomal RNA". Lineage: Eukaryota; Viridiplantae; Streptophyta; Magnoliopsida; Poales; Poaceae. The record is from RNAcentral.
AUGGACGACUCGGAGAACAACGCGCCGUCGACCCCGGGCUCGCCGGGCUUCAGCACCGACCGGCUGCCGCCCAACACCACCACCAGCCGCGGCGCCACCGACCCGUCCUCCUACUCGGACGACGAUGGCGAGGCGGAGGUCGACCCCAACGUGCUCCCCGAGGACGACGGCGCCACCGUUAUCCGCGACGAGGAGGAAGACGACGGGGAGGACCUCUUCAACGACGACUACCUCAAUGAUUACCGAAGAAUGGAUGAGCAGGACCAGUAUGAGUCAGUUGGGUUAGAUGACUCAAUAGAGGAUGAGAGGAACCUGGAUGAGAUCAUGGCUGAUCGAAGGGCUGCAGAAGCGGAACUUCAUGCAAGGGAUGUGAGGACUGGUGCAACAGCUGAUCGAAAAUUGCCUCGUAUGCUUCAUGAUCAGGAUACAGAUGAGGAUAUUAACUUUAGGCGUCCUAAAAGGCACAGGGCUAAUUUUAGACAACCAAGUGGAGGACCAAGAACACCCAGAAGUGAUGAUGAUGGUGAUGGUCUCACUCCUAGUUCACCUGGAAGAUCUCAGCCAUAUUCUGGUGGUGAUGUGCCUAUGACUGAUCAGACUGAUGAUGAUGGAUAUGAGGAUGAAUUUGAUGAAGAAGAUGAGAUGAACAUGUAUCGUGUGCAAGGAACACUUAGAGAGUGGGUCACAAGAGAUGAAGUCAGGCGCUUCAUUGCAAAGAAAUUUAAAGAAUUUCUUCUUACAUAUGUAAACCCUAAGAAUGAACAAGGAGAGUUUGAAUAUGUCAGACUAAUUAAUGAGAUGGUUUUAGCUAACAAGUGUAGUUUGGAGAUAGACUACAAGCAAUUUAUUUAUAUACACCCAAACAUUGCCAUCUGGUUGGCUGAUGCACCUCAAUCAGUGCUGGAGGUUAUGGAGGAAGUGGGCAAAAAUGUUGUUUUUGAUCUCCACAAGAAUUACAGAAACAUCCAUCAGAAAAUAUAUGUGCGAAUCACCAACCUUCCUGUCUAUGAUCAAAUACGCAAUAUCAGGCAAAUUCAUCUGAACACAAUGAUUCGAAUCGGGGGUGUUGUUACUCGAAGGUCAGGUGUGUUCCCUCAGCUGCAGCAGGUCAAGUAUGACUGUAGCAAAUGUGGAACUGUCCUGGGUCCUUUCUUCCAGAACUCUUACACUGAAGUAAGGGUUGGGUCUUGCCCUGAAUGCCAAUCCAAAGGUCCAUUUACUGUCAACGUUGAGCAAACUAUAUACAGGAACUAUCAGAAACUCACUCUUCAGGAAAGCCCAGGGAUUGUUCCUGCUGGCAGGCUUCCCAGGUACAAGGAAGUAAUACUUCUGAAUGAUCUGAUUGACUGUGCUCGUCCAGGAGAGGAAAUUGAGGUUACAGGGAUAUACACAAACAAUUUCGACCUGUCUUUAAAUACAAAGAAUGGUUUCCCAGUUUUUGCCACAGUGGUGGAGGCAAACUAUGUAUCAAAGAAGCAGGAUCUGUUCUCUGCAUACAAAUUAACAGAUGAGGACAAGGCUGAGAUUGAGAAGUUGUCGAAGGAUCCUCGUAUCAGUGAAAGGAUUGUCAAAUCAAUUGCACCAUCCAUUUAUGGUCAUGAAGAUAUCAAGACUGCCAUUGCACUAGCUAUGUUUGGCGGGCAAGAAAAGAACGUGAAGGGAAAGCAUCGCCUAAGAGGUGAUAUUAACUGUCUCCUCUUGGGUGACCCAGGCACUGCGAAAUCCCAAUUUCUCAAGUAUGUUGAGAAAACAGGACACAGGGCUGUAUACACAACUGGGAAAGGAGCUUCUGCUGUUGGACUCACAGCAGCAGUUCACAAGGAUCCAGUAACACGGGAGUGGACCCUUGAGGGAGGUGCACUGGUUCUUGCUGAUAGAGGCAUAUGCCUUAUUGAUGAAUUUGAUAAGAUGAAUGAUCAAGAUAGGGUAAGUAUUCAUGAAGCCAUGGAGCAACAAAGUAUCAGCAUAUCAAAGGCAGGGAUUGUCACAUCCCUUCAAGCUCGAUGCAGUGUUAUUGCUGCAGCAAACCCAGUUGGAGGAAGAUAUGAUUCUUCGAAGACAUUCACUCAAAAUGUUGAACUAACAGAUCCAAUCAUUUCACGUUUUGAUGUCCUCUGUGUUGUUAAGGAUAUUGUUGACCCAUUUACGGAUGAAAUGCUUGCAAGGUUUGUUGUAGAUAGCCAUGCCAGAUCUCAGCCCAAGGGUGGUAAUCUUGAAGAUAGAGUUGUAGCUGAUGAGGAGGAUGAUCCAUUGACUGUUGCCCGGAAUGCUGACCCAGAUAUCCUUUCUCAAGACAUGCUGAAGAAGUAUAUCACAUAUGCUAAGUUGAAUGUAUUCCCCAAAAUACAUGAUGCUGACCUUGACAAGAUCAGCCAUGUCUAUGCUGAACUUCGACGUGAAUCAUCUCACGGUCAAGGAGUCCCCAUUGCAGUAAGGCAUAUCGAAUCAAUCAUUCGAAUGUCUGAGGCACAUGCAAAGAUGCAUCUGCGAAGCUAUGUGUCUCAGGAAGAUGUGGACAUGGCCAUUCGUGUGCUGCUUGACUCGUUCAUCUCAACCCAGAAAUUUGGUGUCCAGAAAGCACUUCAGAAGAAUUUCCGGAAGUACAUGACGUACAAGAAGGAUUACAAUGAACUGCUUCUGCUCCUUCUGCGCACCCUGGUCAAGGAGGCGCUGCACUUUGAAGAAAUCGUGUCUGGAUCAACCACACGCCUGACUCACGUUGAGGUUAAAGUGGAUGACCUGAAGAACAAGGCCCAAGAAUAUGAGAUCUACGACCUGAGGCCGUUCUUCUCCAGCUCUCACUUCAGUGACAACAGCUUUGUCCUCGAUGAAGGGCGUGGGAUCAUCAGGCAUCCAGUUGCGGCAUAA